RNAcentral lists this ribosomal RNA (485 nucleotides) under uncultured bacterium. Its description in RNAcentral is "bacterial SSU rRNA". It matches the Rfam family "Bacterial small subunit ribosomal RNA", at positions 30 to 507 of the family's 1533-position model. The record is from RNAcentral.
UGAACGCUAGCGGCAGGCUUAACACAUGCAAGUCGAACGGAGCUUAUGGAGAGCUUGCUCGAAGUAAGCUUAGUGGCGAACGGGUGAGUAACGCGUGAGCAACCUGUCUCAUACAGGGGGAUAACACUUGGAAACAGGUGCUAAUACCGCAUAAGACCACAGUGCCGCAUGACACAGGGGUCAAAGAAAUUCGGUAUGAGGUGGGCUCGCGUCUGAUUAGAUAGUUGGUGAGGUAACGGCUCACCAAGUCGACGAUCAGUAGCCGACCUGAGAGGGUGAUCGGCCACAUUGGAACUGAGAUACGGUCCAAACUCCUACGGGAGGCAGCAGUGAGGAAUAUUGGUCAAUGGACGCAAGUCUGAACCAGCCAUGCCGCGUGCAGGAUGACGGCUCUACGAGUUGUAAACUGCUUUUGUACGAGGGUAAACCUAGAUACGUGUAUCUAGCUGAAAGUACCGUACGAAUAAGGAUCGGCUAACUCCGUG